Melospiza melodia melodia is the source of this 1427-nucleotide long non-coding RNA. RefSeq lists it as uncharacterized. NCBI's taxonomy places the organism in Eukaryota, Metazoa, Chordata, Aves, Passeriformes, Passerellidae. The transcript has 3 exons. The record is from RefSeq and is a predicted model, not a curated record.
UUUUCAGGUUUUAGACUUUUAAAGAACAACUAUAGUGAAUUCUGUUGCAAAGAAAGUGAUGGCUUGGCUGAGCCAGCACGGUCACCAUGCAGUGAGGGAUGAUCCCAGCCCGUCACUGCUCCUCUUGUCCAGCCACCAGCAGCUCAAUCCCUUUUCCCUGGAGCCUGUGCAGUGCCAGGGCUUGGCCAUCGUUGCUGAGCAGAUGUGUGUGGCUGCCUGACCAGUGAGUUUGUCUCCCAGUCUUCAUUUGGGAGUGAUUCCUUCAGUGCUGCCACACCAGUGGAGACUGCAGCAGGGUCUCCUUCACACCACUGCCUACACUGGAGCAGCUCCUCUGGCACUGCUUCCUGUCCCUGGGAGUUGUCCUGGCUGGAUGGCUGCGAGGAGCUGGGAAGAAAUGCACAGCACUCCUGUGCUCAUUCACUUGGCUGCCAAACAUGCACAUUUCACUGCUUUCUUGAGAGCACUUUCCUGCUGUGGAAAUGUGAUAUGCCUGACUAGGUAGGCCAACAGCUGUGUGAUUGUCCAUCUGCUGCUUCUCCAGAUUAAAUAUUAGCCCAAGUGUCUCCUCCAAAGCCAUGAAUUUCCUCCAAGUGCAGUUCUCAAAGAAGAGCUUUUCUUGCUUCUCUUCUCCUGCACCAGAUAUUCCGUGAGAUAAGCGAUACUGAUGGGCAGCAGGGGAAUUCAAAGCACACAACUGCCAAAAAGCAGGGUCUAUUAUUUGUGUUGAUUUUUAAAUGUAAUUGCUCUUCGGUGGUGAAUGAAACAAAGCACGCAGGCACAGCGAGAUCACUACACCGUGCUAGUGAGGGAAUCCUGUCACAUCUGCAGGGUGAAGGCAGCUUGGCUCUUGGCUGGCCAGAUCUCCCCAGGAGACAAAUGCUUCACAGAGAACUUCUUCCAUGAGAAACAUUUCAGCUCCUCAGGCCUUUGUUGCUGCUUCUGCUCUACCCUGACCAUGUACAGUUGUUUAUCAAUGUUGCUAGAAUUUUUUAGUUUCUAUAGAUGAGGAUAUUUGAGUUGUUUGUUGUUUUUUUGCAGCUGACAUAGAGAGAAAUAUUUAAGAUAGAUAUCAGAAGUAGACAGAGUAAUUCUUAAUUUGUUUCUUUAGAGCUUCAUUUUCCUCAUGCAAGCUAUUAGUAACUCCCACUGAAGCCAAUAAAUUCCUCGUCCUUCACGGCAGGAAAGGCACUAAAGUCAAUGGGAAUUAUUUGUAUCCUGCAGUGGGGGGGAAUAAGCCUCCUGGGAAACUGUGGAUCUCCUAUUUGCCAUAAGCCAUCCAUUAUUCCCUGCCAGUAGCAAGUCAUUCCAGGAUUUGUAGGAAUUUCUAUUGUUUUUUGAGUGUAUCUAUGCUUUAAUUCUCACUUCUCAUAUGAAAGUAACUGAUGCAAGUUAUGAAAUUGCAUUAAUAUAUGGAUUUCUGCUGA